GGAUUGGCACACACGAAUUGAUCCGCAGAUGUCCGAAUGGGGCAACCCGUCUGGUUGAAGACCAGUCACUCCGCAAGGAGAGCAAACCAGGAGAACUGAAACAUCUAAGUACCCUGAGGAAAAGAAAUCGAAGAGAUUCCGUAAGUAGUGGCGAGCGAACGCGGAUUAGCCCAAAAGCUUUUAUAUGUUUAAUAGAAUGUUCUGGAAAGAACAGCCAUAGAGGGUGAUAGCCCCGUAUAUGAAAGGCAUAUUUAAGUGAUAAAUGAGUAGGGCGGGACACGUGAAAUCCUGUUUGAAUAUGGGGGGACCAUCCUCCAAGGCUAAAUACUCCUGAAAGACCGAUA
Non-coding RNA from Chryseobacterium sp. MOF25P, 344 nucleotides. The record is from Rfam. Lineage: Bacteria; Pseudomonadati; Bacteroidota; Flavobacteriia; Flavobacteriales; Weeksellaceae.